UAGGGAAUAUUAGAAAUGGACGAAAGUCUGAUCUAGCAACACCGCGUGUGCGAUGAAGGCCUUCGGGUUGUAAAGCACUUUUUGGAAGGAUUAGGAAGGAAUGUACUUCCAGAAUAAGUCUCGGCUAACUACGUGCCAGCAGCCGCGGUAACACGUAGGAGGCGAACGUUAUCCGGAUUUACUGGGCGUAAAGCGCGUGUAGGUGGUUCUGUAAGUAGGGCGUGAAAGCUCCUGGCUCAACUAGGAGAGGCCGUUCUAAACUGCAGAGCUAGAGGAUGGUAGAGGGAGGUGGAAUUCCGGGUGUAGCGGUGGAAUGCGCAGAUAUCCGGAGGAACACCAGUGGCGAGAGCGGCCUCCUGGACCAUUCCUGACACUCAGACGCGAAAGCUAGGGUAGCAAACGG
Molecule: ribosomal RNA, 403 nt
Filed under: uncultured bacterium
Lineage: Bacteria
Description: bacterial SSU rRNA
Rfam family: Bacterial small subunit ribosomal RNA
Source: RNAcentral